AAGUCGUAACAAGGUUUCCGUAGGUGAACCUGCGGAAGGAUCAUUAACACGUAUCCACGUAUAAAAAACCCCCUGUGGCUGAUUGGAGUUGUGCUCACUCGAUCUUAAUUCGGACUCGGGAUCUAUGAGUGGACGCAGCGUUCAUUAUUAUUAUUAACCCCUUUGUACUUUUUUGUACUGCCAAUUCUUCGAGUUUCGGCCUUCUCGGGCUGAGAUACGAGAUAUUGCGAAACUAAAGAACAACUCUUAGCAACGGAUAUCUUGGUUCUC
This 270-nucleotide unclassified non-coding RNA is filed under the name fungal sp. RNAcentral's name for it is "partial internal transcribed spacer region". The stretch from base 1 to 46 matches the Rfam family "Eukaryotic small subunit ribosomal RNA", at positions 1786 to 1831 of the family's 1831-position model. The record is from RNAcentral. Lineage: Eukaryota; Fungi.